Non-coding RNA from Xyrichtys novacula (pearly razorfish), 1181 nucleotides. Lineage: Eukaryota; Metazoa; Chordata; Actinopteri; Labriformes; Labridae. The record is from the annotation of a GenBank genome assembly.
UGGGGCUAGGGAAAGGUUUAAGGUUUUGGGCGUAAGGGUUAAAAUCACUGUCCAAAACCUUUUUAGGAACAUGUUUCAGACAUUUUGGAGUUGGUUACACCAAAAAAAAUGUAAAAUGAAAAAAAAUUUUUUUGGGUGUUCGGGCUUCCUGAAGGUUAUACUAGGUUUCUGGGCUAGGGUAAUGUUUAAGGUUUUUGGAGUUAGGGUUAAAAUCAAUGUCCAAAACCUUUGUAGGAACUCUUUUCCAACCUUUUGGAGUUAGUUAGACCACAAAAAAUGAAAAAUAAAAAAAUAUAUUUGGGGUGUUCGGGCUUCCUGAAGGUAAUACCCGGGUAUUAGGUUUUGGGGCUAGGGUAACUUUUAAGGUUUUUGGCGUGAGGGUUAAAAUCACUGUCCAAAACCUUUGUAGGAACUCUUUAACAUCCUUUUGGAGUUAGUUAGACCAAAAAAAAAACGAAAAAUGAAAAAACAAUAUUUGGGGUUUUCGGGCUUCCUGAAGGUAAUACCCGGGUAUUAGGUUAUGGGGCUAGGGUAAGGUUUAAGGUUAUUGGCGCGAGGGUUAAAAUCACUGUCCAAAACCUUUGUAGGAACUCUUUUCCAACCUUUUGGAGUUAGUUAGACCACAAAAAAUGAAAAAUAAAAAAAAAAAUAUUUGGGGUGUUCGGGCUUCCUGAAGGUAAUACCCGGGUAUUAGGUUUGGGGCUAGGGUAAGGUUUAAGGUUUUUGGCGUAGGGUUAAAAUCACUGUCCAAAACCUUUGUAGGAACUCUUUUCCAACCUUUUGGAGUUAGUUAGACCACAAAAAAUGAAAAAUAAAAAAAAAAUAUUUGGGGUGUUCGGGCUUCCUGAAGGUAAUACCCGGGUAUUAGGUUUUGGGGCUAGGGUAACUUUUAAGGUUUUUGGCGAUAGGGUUAAAAUCACUGUCCAAAACCUUUGUAGGAACUCUUUUCCAACCUUUUGGAGUUAGUUAGACCACAAAAAAUGAAAAAAAAAAAAAAUUUGGGGUGUUCAGGCUUCCUGAAGGUAAUACCCGGGUAUUAGGUUAUGGGGCUAGGGUAAGGUUUAAGGUUUUUGGCGUAAGGGUUAAAAUCACUGUCCAAAACCUUUGUAGGAACUCUUUUCCAACCUUUUGGAGUUAGUUAGACCAAAAAAAAAAAAAGAUAAAUUAAAAAAAAAUAUUUG